RNAcentral lists this long non-coding RNA (1111 nucleotides) under Homo sapiens (human). RNAcentral's name for it is "HSALNT0233037". Lineage: Eukaryota; Metazoa; Chordata; Mammalia; Primates; Hominidae. The record is from RNAcentral.
AAAGAGCAUGAGAGAUCUCAAAGAAACUUUCAGAAGGUUAGCAGGCAAAUGUGACGUGUGUCAGGAACGCGGAAGCUGAGGGAGGAGGAUUCCCAGAAGAAGUCAGAUGCAGACAGAGGUCAGGAGAGUAAGUCUGGAGCAAAGGUUACAGACAUUAUUUUUAGUUAGAGAUUAUUGUCAUCCCUGACCUUGAGGAAGAGAGUAAUUCUAGUGGGGCAUGACUGCAGAAUCCAGAGGACAAAUAUUUAGGGAAUUGAGUGGGUGUACAGGAAAUAGUGGCUGACUAUUUUAGAUUCCUGUUUUGAGAAGAUGAGUGGUGAAAGGUGAGAAUGGGAGUGGCAAGACUGUGGGGAGGUACUGUGGAGGAGACAGCAUAUUUAUAAUAAAUGAGAUAAUGCAUAUUCAGUGCUCAGCCUAGAGGAAACACUCACCCAAGUGCUGCCUGUUGUUGUUGUAAGAGAAGAGAGCUUGGUAACUAAGGGAAUGGGGUCUGAGUGGAGGCAGAGGAGGAUGAGUUCAGGGGCUCAGGUUGCAGGGAAGAGGGCAUCCAGAAUAUAUGAUGGAGAGAAAGAGUCGGCAGCAGAGGCAGAGCAGAGGAAGACAGCCUCUUCUGCCAAGAGAAGACGGACAAUGCACCAAAAUAGAAGCAUAAAUAAUUGCUGCUUGCUAUUUUAUUCAUCUUUUUAUGUUUCUUUCGCAUCUCCCUCAUUCUAAGGUCCCUGGUAGCAGGAACCAGGCUUCACCCUUCAUUGCGUUUAAAGAGACCACGUAGAAAAGUGAUUAUGGCCAGCGACUCUGAAGCCAAACUGCCUGGGUUCAAAUCUCAGCUUUGCCAUUGACUUACUAGCUCUGUAACCUUGGACAAUCUACUUAGUUUCUCUGUGCUCCAGUUUCCCCAUGUGUAAAAUCUUUCACUAAAGUGAAGGAGGGCUAAUGAAGAUAAAAAAGUUGUUCCCCUCAUGAUGGCCAGGCAGGAGGAGGAAGAAUCUGAGCACUCCAGGGUCUCAACAAGGAUGAGUAACGGCGAAUAAAUGUGAUUGCAUACUCUUUCCAUCAAAUAAAAACAUAUAAGAUAAAACAAACCCCAAAAGCCAAGUACUGUUUGAAGUAU